UAUGAAAUUUUGAUUGGGCGAUAAGUGUGGGGACUGCUGCAUUUGUGUCUCCCAUUGUUUUGUCACCAUAUAUCUGGGUUAAAUCCUGCCAAGUUGGGUAAGGCUUUAAGCACUUCUACAUUCAAUUCAAUUUGCCUUUGGGCAAUACCUGCCUGUCGCUUUGCGGACCACAAGCUCAACUUAAUAUGUUUCAAUUUCAUUGUGCACUCUGCUAAGCCUACGCCUUGGCCAAAACCCGGAGCUUCAAGGACCGCACUUGUGCAUGGGGUAUGUGCAGCCAGAUGGAGAGGAAAAUGUGUGCAAAUAUCCCUGGAAAAUAAGCCAUUAAACGAGGCCAGAAAGUGGGCAUUGAGUGUUUGCCCAUCAUAAAUUGGGCAAAAAUUGCCUGCAAGCUGCACUGCAAAAAAAGAUCGCAAAGCUAUGUCAAAAUAUUAAAAUGGCAAACAGUUCCUAAAGAUAUGGUAACAUACGGUUUUGACUUUAAUUCUACUGUACAAUUCUAAAUAAAAGCAUGAUAUGCAAGUACCAUCUGAAACAG
Drosophila melanogaster (fruit fly) is the source of this 538-nucleotide non-coding RNA. NCBI's taxonomy places the organism in Eukaryota, Metazoa, Arthropoda, Insecta, Diptera, Drosophilidae. The record is from Ensembl.